AUGUCCGUCCAAGUACUGGUCACCAUGCGCUACUACCCGAACUUCAUGGGGUACCCGUGGCGGCCUUUACUGCGUGCGUCCGCCCCUCCUGUCUUCAUCCCCAGAGCCGGCGCCUCGAUCCCUGGUGGCUCCUUCCCCGUCGGAUUGCUCGGGGAUCCAGCUCGUGGACCCCGUCUCCAUCGUCUCAACUGGUGA
RNAcentral lists this ribosomal RNA (195 nucleotides) under Triticum aestivum (bread wheat). RNAcentral's name for it is "partial small subunit ribosomal RNA". The record is from RNAcentral. Lineage: Eukaryota; Viridiplantae; Streptophyta; Magnoliopsida; Poales; Poaceae.